RNAcentral lists this ribosomal RNA (294 nucleotides) under uncultured bacterium. RNAcentral's name for it is "partial 16S ribosomal RNA". It matches the Rfam family "Bacterial small subunit ribosomal RNA", at positions 505 to 796 of the family's 1533-position model. The record is from RNAcentral.
GUGUCAGCAGCCGCGGUAAUACAGAGGGUGCGAGCGUUGUUCGGAAUUACUGGGCGUAAAGCGCGCGCAGGCGGCCUUUUAAGUCUACCCGUGAAAUGCCGGAGCUCAACUCCGUGCACGCCGGGGGAUACUGGAGGGCUGGAGACAGGUAGAGGCAGGCGGAAUUCCGGGUGUAGCGGUGGAAUGCGUAGAGAUCCGGAAGAACACCAGAGGCGAAGGCGGCCUGCUGGGCCUUGUCUGACGCUGAGGCGCGAAAGCGUGGGGAGCGAACAGGAUUAGAUACCCUGGUAGUCC